GUGGGGAAUAUUGGACAAUGGGCGAAAGCCUGAUCCAGCCAUGCCGCGUGUGUGAAGAAGGUCUUCGGAUUGUAAAGCACUUUAAGUUGGGAGGAAGGGCAGUAAGUUAAUACCUUGCUGUUUUGACGUUACCGACAGAAUAAGCACCGGCUAACUUCGUGCCAGCAGCCGCGGUAAUACGAAGGGUGCAAGCGUUAAUCGGAAUUACUGGGCGUAAAGCGCGCGUAGGUGGUUUUGUAAGUUGGAGGUGAAAUCCCCGGGCUCAACCUGGGAACUGCCUCAAAAACUGCAUGACUAGAGUACGGUAGAGGGUAGUGGAAUUUCCUGUGUAGCGGUGAAAUGCGUAGAUAUAGGAAGGAACACCAGUGGCGAAGGCGACUACCUGGACUGAUACUGACACUGAGGUGCGAAAGCGUGGGGAGCAAACAGGAUUAGAUACCCCGGUAGUCC
Molecule: ribosomal RNA, 450 nt
Filed under: uncultured bacterium
Lineage: Bacteria
Description: bacterial SSU rRNA
Rfam family: Bacterial small subunit ribosomal RNA
Source: RNAcentral